GCCCGGUUAGCUCAAUCGGUAGAGCGUGAGACUCUUACGAGUGCGCGAUCUCAAGGUUGCGGGUUCGACCCCCGCAUCGGGCU
This 83-nucleotide transfer RNA is filed under the name Fusarium fujikuroi. Its description in RNAcentral is "transfer RNA-Lys(CTT)". It matches the Rfam family "tRNA". Rfam says of the family: Transfer RNA (tRNA) molecules are approximately 80 nucleotides in length. Their secondary structure includes four short double-helical elements and three loops (D, anti-codon, and T loops). RNAcentral also lists the same sequence under 2 other names. The record is from RNAcentral. Lineage: Eukaryota; Fungi; Ascomycota; Sordariomycetes; Hypocreales; Nectriaceae.